AGAGUUUGAUCCUGGCUCAGAAUCAACGCUGGCGGCAUGCCUAACACAUGCAAGUCGAACGAGAAAGUGGAGCAAUCCAUGAGUAAAGUGGCGCACGGGUGAGUAACACGUGACUAACCUACCUUCGAGUGGGGAAUAACUCCGGGAAACCGGGGCUAAGACCGCAUAAUAUCGAGAGAUCAAAUGCGAAAGCAGCUUGAAGAGGGGGUCGCGGUUGAUUAGCUAGUUGGUGAGGUAAUGGCUCACCAAGGCGAUGAUCAAUAGCCGGCCUGAGAGGGCGCACGGCCACACUGGAACUGAAACACGGUCCAGACUCCUACGGGAGGCAGCAGUGGGGAAUUUUGCGCAAUGGGGGAAACCCUGACGCAGCAAUGCCGCGUGGAGGAUGAAGUCCUUUGGGAUGUAAACUCCUUUCGAUCGGGAAGAUAAUGACGGUACCGGAAGAAGAAGCCCCGGCUAACUCUGUGCCAGCAGCCGCGGUAAUACAGAGGGGGCAAGCGUUGUUCGGAAUUAUUGGGCGUAAGGGCGCGUAGGCGGUGCGGUAAGUCACUUG
RNAcentral lists this ribosomal RNA (553 nucleotides) under uncultured Acidobacteriota bacterium. RNAcentral's name for it is "bacterial SSU rRNA". It matches the Rfam family "Bacterial small subunit ribosomal RNA", at positions 8 to 594 of the family's 1533-position model. Lineage: Bacteria; Pseudomonadati; Acidobacteriota. The record is from RNAcentral.